Molecule: long non-coding RNA, 1073 nt
Organism: Cucurbita moschata (crookneck pumpkin)
Lineage: Eukaryota; Viridiplantae; Streptophyta; Magnoliopsida; Cucurbitales; Cucurbitaceae
Exons: 3
Source: RefSeq, a predicted model, not a curated record
AGUGAGAGAAAGGGGUAGAGAGAACCUAGAGAGAGGAGAAAUAAUGAACCGCUGGAAGACUCAUCGAAAACUACCAUCGGAGUCUAUUCCGGUGAAGAUCAUGAUGCAAGUUAGUGAAGAUCAUGAUGCAAGGAGCCUUUCUUGGAAGGGAAAAGAGAAUAUGGGUGGCCGAAGUCCCAUUUUUCAUCAAGAAAUUGGAAAACCCGCAAGGAACAACUCUACGCAUGAUCUAUGAAGAAGUUUGGCCGAGACCUCAACCCGAAGGUGGAGAUCCGAGAGUCGUCCGAGAACGAUGAGCGAAAUUCCGACCUUCUUAACUCAUCCGGUAGUUAAGCAAAAAUUACGAAAAAAUACGAGGACGUAGCCCGUAACAUGAUCUAAAACUUUGCCGAAUGAAUCAUGUCGAUCCGAUCUACGGAUCGAAAGAUAUGAAAAUUGGAAAAGAGGGUUGUGUUUGGGUUUUCAGAGGGCAGAGAAGAAAGAAGAAAAAAAAAAAAAAAAAAAGGAGUCGGCCGGCGAGCGGCGGACGGCGGCGACAGGCGCCGGACACGCGUCAACCAUCGGCUGGAGCAAUGCAGCUCCAGCGAGACAUCGACACGUGUUGCCUACAAGUCGGGCCAAACCGCGACGCGAGUCGAGCCAACCGGACCGGCCGACCCGCGACUAUGCGGAGGCGGGCGCACAUGCAGCCUGCGACUAGCGCCUUCCCGCGCGCGUGACCACGCACUCCUAGCACGCUGCUGGCACGUGAGCGCGCUGGGACGGCCAAUUUGGCCCAGUUGCUUUCUGUUUGCCCGAUUUUUGUCCCGGUUCCAGUUCUAAUACUGUUUUUACGUGAAUAGGGACCUAAUUUAAAGAAAUCAGUAUUUUUGGAUACCUCACGAGCAAAGAGACGCUAGCAGAAAGAGCACGCGUCAACCAAGUGUUCGCUGGCUGCUGGUCGAGGUAGAGGAGCGUUUGAGAGCUGUACAGUCACAGAGGGGGUCGUUCCGGAGCGUCUGUCCCUUGUCGGUCUUUAGAGUCUUUUGUAUUUUUUCUUAAUAAUUGUAUUUCAGGUGGAAAUAUUGGUUUUA